UCCGGCUUAUCACCGGCAGUCCCUUUAGAGUGCCCAACUAAAUGAUGGCAACUAAGGACGAGGGUUGCGCUCGUUGCGGGACUUAACCCAACAUCUCACGACACGAGCUGACGACAGCCAUGCAGCACCUGUGUUCUAGCCAGCCUAACUGAAGGAAUCCAUCUCUGGAAACCAUACUAGACAUGUCAAACGCUGGUAAGGUUCUGCGCGUUGCUUCGAAUUAAACCACAUGCUCCGCUGCUUGUGCGGGCCCCCGUCAAUUCCUUUGAGGUUUAGCCUUGCGGCCGUACUCCCCAGGCGGGGCACUUAAUGCGUUAGCGUCGGCACGGGAGGAGUCGACACCUCCCACACCUAGCACCCAUCGUUUACGGCGUGGACUAC
Molecule: unclassified non-coding RNA, 381 nt
Filed under: uncultured bacterium
Lineage: Bacteria
Description: contains 16S-23S intergenic spacer region
Source: RNAcentral